This is a non-coding RNA of Meleagris gallopavo (turkey), 65 nucleotides long. Lineage: Eukaryota; Metazoa; Chordata; Aves; Galliformes; Phasianidae. The record is from Ensembl.
GACCCUGUAGUGAAGUUCAUGAUGAGUUGCAAACUCAUAGAUGUAUACGAGGUAUGCCGGGGUCU